UGGCGGCGUGCCUAACACAUGCAAGUCGAACGAGUCUUGUAUUAUAGCAAUAUUAUUAAAGAGGAGUGGCGAACGGGUGAGUAACACGUAGAUAAUCUGCCUUCAGACGGGGACAACUCAGGGAAACUUGUGCUAAUACCCGAUGAGACCACAAGAAGGGAUUUUUGUGGCCAAAGGCGGGCAGCAAUGCUCGUGCUGAAAGAUGAGCCUGCGUCCUAUCAGCUAGUUGGUGGGGUAAAUGCCUACCAAGGCUAAGACGGGUAGCCGGCCUGAGAGGGUGAACGGCCACACUGGGACUGAGACACGGCCCAGACUCCUACGGGAGGCAGCAGUGAGGAAUUUUCCGCAAUGGGCGCAAGCCUGACGGAGCGACGCCGCGUGAGGGAUGAACAGCUUUCGGGUUGUAAACCUCUUUUAUUAAAGGAAAAAGAUCUAUAUGCUAAUAUCAUGUAGAUUUGAUGGUACUUAUUGAAUAGGCCCCGGCUAACUACGUGCCAGCAGCGGC
Molecule: ribosomal RNA, 505 nt
Filed under: uncultured bacterium
Lineage: Bacteria
Description: bacterial SSU rRNA
Rfam family: Bacterial small subunit ribosomal RNA
Source: RNAcentral